This 428-nucleotide ribosomal RNA is filed under the name Trichoniscus sp. RNAcentral describes it as "partial large subunit ribosomal RNA". Lineage: Eukaryota; Metazoa; Arthropoda; Malacostraca; Isopoda; Trichoniscidae. The record is from RNAcentral.
UCUGACUGUGCUAAGGUAGCAUAAUAAUUCGUCUUUUUAUUGAAGUCUAGAAUAAAUGGUUAGACGAAGAAAUUAUAUUUUUAAGAUGGUUUAAAUAAUUUUUUUCAAGAGUUAAAAAUCUUUUAGCCUCUAAGGGGACGACAAGACCCUAAAAUCUGUCUUAAUAAUAAGCCUAAGAAAUAAAACAAAUAAAGACUUACUGGGGCGGUAAACCUUAUUAAACAACCUAAACUAUUACACUAUUAGUGAAGUUCCACAGCCUUUAUGAAAAUAAAAAGAUACUUUAGGGAUAACAGCAUUAUUUUUCUAUAGAGCUCUUAUCGCUAGAGAAGAUUAGGACCUCGAUGUUGAAUUAAGGAAACUGAGAUGACAAGGUAUGGAUUAUGACCUCGGAUGUUGAAAUUGAAAUUUUCUGUACUUAGCAGGAU